AGAGUUUGAUCAUGGCUCAGGACGAACGCUGGCGGCGGGCUUAACACAUGCAAGUCGAACGGAAUCCAUGGAGCUUGCUCCGGAAGAUUUAGUGGCGAACGGGUGAGGAACACGUGAGAAACCUGCCCCGAACUUUGGGAUAACAGUUGGAAACGACUGCUAAUACCAAAUACCUCCGCGAUGUGGCAUCACAUUGCGAAGAAAGAAUUUCGGUUCGGGAGGGUCUCGCGGCCUAUCAGCUAGUUGGUGGGGUAAUGGCCUACCAAGGCAUCGACGGGUAGCUGGUCUGAGAGGAUGAUCAGCCACACUGGGACUGAGACACGGCCCAGACUCCUACGGGAGGCAGCAGUGGGGAAUCUUGUGCAAUGGGGGCAACCCUGACACAGCCACGCCGCGUGCGGGAAGAAGGCCUUCGGGUCGUAAACCGCUUUCAGCAGGAACGAAAAUGACGGUACCUGCAGAAGAAGGAGCGGCCAACUACGUGCCAGCAGCCGCGGUGACACGUAGGCUCCAAGCGUUGUCCGGAUUUAUUGGGCGUAAAGAGCUCGUAGGCGGUUCAGCAAGUCGGGUGUGAAAACUGUGGGCUUAACCCACAGCCUGCACCCGAAACUGCUGUGACUAGAGUUUGGUAGGGGAGCGGGGAAUUCCUGGUGUAGCGGUGAAAUGCGCAGAUAUCAGGAGGAACACCGGUGGCGAAGGCGCCGCUCUGGGCCAAUACUGACGCUGAGGAGCGAAAGCGUGGGUAGCAAACAGGAUUAGAUACCCU
This 766-nucleotide ribosomal RNA is filed under the name uncultured Actinomycetes bacterium. RNAcentral's name for it is "bacterial SSU rRNA". It matches the Rfam family "Bacterial small subunit ribosomal RNA", at positions 8 to 788 of the family's 1533-position model. The record is from RNAcentral. Lineage: Bacteria; Bacillati; Actinomycetota; Actinomycetes.